UGGCUGGAAAGGCUGCAAAUU
This 21-nucleotide microRNA is filed under the name Strongyloides ratti. RNAcentral's name for it is "str-miR-8385-3p". Lineage: Eukaryota; Metazoa; Nematoda; Chromadorea; Rhabditida; Strongyloididae. The record is from miRBase by way of RNAcentral.